This is a long non-coding RNA of Diorhabda carinulata, 1497 nucleotides long. RefSeq lists it as uncharacterized. The transcript is spliced from 2 exons. Lineage: Eukaryota; Metazoa; Arthropoda; Insecta; Coleoptera; Chrysomelidae. The record is from RefSeq and is a predicted model, not a curated record.
GAUUCAAUCAACAGUGUUCAAUCACCGUGUUUUGCUGGUGUUCAAUCGUAGUCGCAUGUCGCUGCAGAAUGAUUUUUAAUAAUCUCCUUGUGAUCAGCGUGUUCAUUGUUGGGUUCCUAAACCAGAGUAACAUUGUUAUUUGCUCCCAGAGUUCAGGGAAUUUCAGAUUUAGACACAUCCUUAAUCACUUCCCGACAAAUAGAUGAAGAAAUUAAAACUCAGUUGUUACAAGGUGACCCAUAAGUAAUGGUCACUUCAUGAAAAUAUUGAUGACAGAAAAUAUAUAGGAUAAGAAAACUCAUAUGCAAAAUAUAAACUGCUGUAGAAGAAAAAAUGAACCACCAUAAUUUUUUUACCGCAUUUUUACAGAAACAUGCGCUAUAACUAGCGUUUUAUCCGUUCGUCCGUUUAUCUAUAGCAGCGUUAUCUCCUCACAGGAAGUAUGUAGCAAGUUUAUUAGAUUUUGUAUUUAAUUCCUCUAUAAGUUUAGAUGUGCCGAAACAAAAGAAAUUGAUGAAAUGAUCCAAUUGAUUUUCCAAAAACGACCAAAUCGAUUUGAUUAAAAAUUGUUAGGGAGGUAGUUUUGAACCAAAAGAAGGAAACAGUAUACUUCUCAUCCCGUAUCCGUGGAACGUGACUUGAAACGUGGUAUAAUAUCACGCAACAAAGAGAAAAAUCGAAAAUUCAUUAGUCAAAACAUCAGUCUAGCCGUUCAUUUUUUUAAAUUGAUAUAACACAACGCAAAUCACAAGGAAUAAGAAAACUCUAGUUAGCAGCGUCAUAUAAUGUUAUCUAUGGUUAAGUUUGAUCGAAAAUUUGACAAAGUUUUGAAGUUGGCAGAUUGAUGUCUUUGUUUCUAGUAUCUUUAAACUUAUCGUGCUGAUAUCAUCUUUAACAAUGCUUCGUCCAAGAAGAUCGAAUCUUUCCAGACAAAGUCGUAGGAUUCGAAACAUUGUGAAUGAAAGGACUGAAGAAGAACGAGAAAUUGCACGUGCUUCUCAAUCACAAAAGCAAAAAAACAACCCGCGAAACGCCUCGGUACUGAUUUGAAUCGAGUAGCAUUUCGAUACGAUUGCAGCAGCAGUUUUCCAAUAUUAAUUCCGCAGUAUGAGCCAUUGCAUCCAUUGCUGGGUGGCAAAACACAUAAUUUGGGACAGACAUUACUGAAGAACAAUGAUUUAAUCUGACAAUGAAGAUACCUAUCUACUUGGAAGUGUUUGGAUUAACAGUGCACACUUUAGGAGUAAAAGUUAGCUCUGUAGUAAACUUGCUUCGAAACAUAAGCCAACUAAAACUAUGCAACGAAACGCGUUUGAUGGUGAGUAAAUUGAUGAACAAUAUGAUUUACAUUCAGUCUCUGAAGACGAUAACUUGGUCAUUGAAAUGCGCGUCAGACAGUGUAAUUGUGGGUGUUGGUGUAGUGGUGUUCAGUAUCAAUACGUCUGUUGAAUAAUUGAUUUUAUAAAUAGGAUGAAGGUUCACACAACUUUCAAGAAA